This 579-nucleotide ribosomal RNA is filed under the name Staphylococcus aureus. Its description in RNAcentral is "bacterial SSU rRNA". It matches the Rfam family "Bacterial small subunit ribosomal RNA", at positions 196 to 763 of the family's 1533-position model. Lineage: Bacteria; Bacillati; Bacillota; Bacilli; Caryophanales; Staphylococcaceae. The record is from RNAcentral.
AAAAGUGAAAGACGGUCUUGCUGUCACUUAUAGAUGGAUCCGCGCUGCAUUAGCUAGUUGGUAAGGUAACGGCUUACCAAGGCAACGAUGCAUAGCCGACCUGAGAGGGUGAUCGGCCACACUGGAACUGAGACACGGUCCAGACUCCUACGGGAGGCAGCAGUAGGGAAUCUUCCGCAAUGGGCGAAAGCCUGACGGAGCAACGCCGCGUGAGUGAUGAAGGUCUUCGGAUCGUAAAACUCUGUUAUUAGGGAAGAACAUAUGUGUAAGUAACUGUGCACAUCUUGACGGUACCUAAUCAGAAAGCCACGGCUAACUACGUGCCAGCAGCCGCGGUAAUACGUAGGUGGCAAGCGUUAUCCGGAAUUAUUGGGCGUAAAGCGCGCGUAGGCGGUUUUUUAAGUCUGAUGUGAAAGCCCACGGCUCAACCGUGGAGGGUCAUUGGAAACUGGAAAACUUGAGUGCAGAAGAGGAAAGUGGAAUUCCAUGUGUAGCGGUGAAAUGCGCAGAGAUAUGGAGGAACACCAGUGGCGAAGGCGACUUUCUGGUCUGUAACUGACGCUGAUGUGCGAAAGCGUG